UCGGCUCCGGUUCACGUUGGUCGUAUCCCGCGACAACGACCCGGCGCC
This 48-nucleotide non-coding RNA is filed under the name Streptomyces sp. 303MFCol5.2. RNAcentral describes it as "L31-Actinobacteria ribosomal protein leader". It matches the Rfam family "L31-Actinobacteria ribosomal protein leader". The record is from RNAcentral. Lineage: Bacteria; Bacillati; Actinomycetota; Actinomycetes; Kitasatosporales; Streptomycetaceae.